AGGUGCCCGUACCGCAAACCGACACAGGUAGGUAGGAAGAAGAUUCUAAGGCCAACGGGAGAAGGGUUGUUAAGGAACUCGGCAAAUUGACCCCGUAACUUCGGGAGAAGGGGUGCUCCAGAGAUGGAGCCGCAGAGAAUCGGCCCAAGCAACUGUUUACCAAAAACACAGGUUUGUGCUAAAUCGAAAGAUGACGUAUACGAGCUGACGCCUGCCCGGUGCUGGAAGGUUAAGAGGAGAUGUGCAAGCAUUGAAUCGAAGCCCCAGUGAACGGCGGCCGUAACUAUAACGGUCCUAAGGUAGCGAAAUUCCUUGUCAGGUAAGUUCUGACCCGCAUGAAAGGCGUAAUGAUUUGGGCACUGUCUCAACAGCCCGCCCGGCGAAAUUGUAGUACCGGUGAAGAUGCCGGUUACCCGCGACAAGACGGAAAGACCCCAUGGAGCUUUACUGUAGCCUAAUAUUGGGUUUCGAUGUUGCAUGCACAGGAUAGAUGGGACACUGGGAAACAAUCGCUUUGGCGGUUGCGGAGUGGCCGUUGGGAUACCAUCCUUGCGAUAUUGGAAUUCUAACCUGCGGCUCUGAAUCGAGUCGGGGGACAUUGUUAGGUGGGCAGUUUGACUGGGGCGGUCGCCUCCUAAAAAGUAACGGAGGCGUUCAAAGGUUCGCUCAGCUUGAACGGAAAUCAAGCAAAAGAGUGCAAACGCAGAAGCGAGCCUAACUGCGAGACUGACGGGUCGAGCAGUAACGAAAGUUGGAGUUAGUGAUCCGGUGGUAUGUGAGUGGAAAUGCCAUCGCUCAACGGAUAAAAGUUACCCUGGGGAUAACAGGCUGAUCUCCCCCAAGAGUCCACAUCGACGGGGAGGUUUGGCACCUCGAUGUCGGCUCAUCGCAUCCUGGGGCUGUAUUCGGUCCCAAGGGUUUGGCUGUUCGCCAAUUAAAGCGGUACGCGAGCUGGGUUCAGAACGUCGUGAGACAGUUCGGUCCCUAUCUGUCGUGGGCGCAGGAUAUUUGA
RNAcentral lists this ribosomal RNA (1012 nucleotides) under human gut metagenome. RNAcentral describes it as "bacterial LSU rRNA". It matches the Rfam family "Bacterial large subunit ribosomal RNA", at positions 1636 to 2665 of the family's 2925-position model. The record is from RNAcentral.